Erinaceus europaeus (western European hedgehog) is the source of this 690-nucleotide long non-coding RNA. RefSeq lists it as uncharacterized. The transcript is spliced from 3 exons. Lineage: Eukaryota; Metazoa; Chordata; Mammalia; Eulipotyphla; Erinaceidae. The record is from RefSeq and is a predicted model, not a curated record.
CUAAGACCCCUUCUGUUGCAUUGCUUGACGUUGUAGUCUAUUUACAUAAUCAUUGUUUUCAUUGAUUUAAUCCCCACUGGUUUGUGCGCUAUUUUCCUUCUCCCCACCCCCUAUCCUACAUACUUCCUCUUCCUGACACUUCCGCCUCAGGAGAUAUAAAAGACAGGGCUUUCUAAUGAAGAGAGAUUAGAAGAGAUUAGAUUGUUGAACUGCAUCCCCCCGCUCGUCAAUAAAGAUUGAACUGCGUUCCCAGCUCAGCCAUGAGUCCCUGGUCAUCUGUCUUCCUCCCGUGAAGCUAGACCAAACUGGGACCGGCACCCCUACCAUUUGCAUUGGGUCCCUCCCAUCACUGAACAUUGAGCAAACUAUAUGAAACAACAGCUGUGAGGAGCUGGUUAACUGAAGAUAUUAAGACAAGACACUGGCAGCCCAGGGAGUGAGGGCUGAGAGGAGAGGAGAGAGGAGCCACCAGGUUCCAGAUGCCAGCAGGAUGCUGGCCAGGCUUCACUGGACAGACAACCCCAUCAAUGUGUCCUGGAGCUCCACUUCCCCAGAGCCCCACCCUACUAGGGAAAGAGACAGGCUGGAAGUAUGGAUCAACCUGUUAAUGCCCAUGCUCAGCGGGGAAGCAAUUACAGAAGCCAGACCUUCCACCUUCUGCAACCCACAAUGACCUUGGGUUCAUACUCC